Equus caballus (horse) is the source of this 1926-nucleotide long non-coding RNA. NCBI's taxonomy places the organism in Eukaryota, Metazoa, Chordata, Mammalia, Perissodactyla, Equidae. The record is from Ensembl.
CUCUCACAGUUCUGGAAGCCAGAAGUCCCAAAUCAAGGUGUUGGCCGGGCCACGCUGCCUCCAAAGGCUCUAGGGGAAGAGACUUCCUUGACUCUUCCAGCUUCUGGUGGCUCCUGCCGUUCCUUUGCUUGUAGAAGCAUAACUCCAAUCUCUGCCUCCAUCUCCAUGUGGUCUUCUCUCUAUCUCUCUGCAUCUUCUCCUCUUCUUAUUGGCUUUAGGGUCCACCUUAAUCCAAUAUGAUAUCAUCUUACCAUUAACUAGUUGUGUCUGCAAUGGCUCUAUUUCUAAAUAAGGUCACAUUUAAGAUUUCAAGUUGACGUGAAUUUGAGGGGGGACAGUAUUUAACCCACUAGACAUAGGGAUUAUUACAUAUCAUUAUUUCCUUUGCAUCAGUGAGAAAGCUGAGGUCUAGGAGGGGAGACAACUUGCCCUGUCACUCAACUGCCCACUGGCAGAGCUAGGUUGUGGACUCGGCUCAGUGUUAUGUCAAUUCCAUGCUUUUUCUACUUGACCAUGCUGCUUCUAGAAAACCAGUCUGCAAACUCAAAACUAGAAAGUAAUGACAUCAAUGGUCAUCCACCUAUUGGCUCCCGGAUUAUACCAGCAGAGGUGAAUGAUCAGAGGGUGGCUUUGAGGUUUGUUUUUCAUUUCAGAUACGGUGUUGGAUCCAAGAGGAUGAUGAGCUCAUCACUGUUUUGUAAAUGGAAGCAGCCAUGCCACGUACUACAGUUUUGCCCAACUAGGACAUAACUAUCCAACCAUCACACAAGGACUGGAACGCCAUGGACUGCUCCGCCCUGAGGCCCCAGUUCUAACUGGCCAGGUGAACUUAAGCCUUGGGGCAGUAUUCUGGAGGAAACCCAGGCAGCAUGGAAGAUUUCUUCCCCACUGAGGAAAGUGCCUAUGUCUGAAUCUAUAAGUUUAAUCCACCGUUCUGCCUCACCGAUGGAUUUUACCUAUUGUGCCCCUGAAAGGAAAGGAACACAGUGAAACUGGCUGUGGGCACACUUGAUAAAUCAUUGUUGGAACUGGAGGGAAUUUCGUUGUGGAGGUAACAAGCGACCACAGCCUGCCUCGGUGCCCAGCCCAGAUAAAGUGUGGCUGAGACUCAGAAUUGUUUACUGUUCAGUGCUGCGGACACAUUUCCUGUUGGCCCUGCAGGGAAAUGACAGAUGCCCAUGGUUGUGCACCAGGAUUUGGUCUGCCAGGGGAGCUUGUUUAGAGGGGAUCAGACUAUGGAGGGAAGGCCAUCGUGAGGGUGAGGAGGAGCAGAUAAGGUUUCUGUAUGCAGAAUCCCAGACGACGAUGCAGGGGCAGGAGAAUGGACCAGAUCACCUUGGCAAGCCUUCCCAGUUCCAAUAGCAAACAUGUAACGAGCCUCUCAUGUGCCAGCCCCUGUAUCCCCAGCUGGAGGCAUGCGGAAAAAUGAGAAACAGCUCCUGUCUUCGAGGUCCCCAUUUAGUGCAGCAGACAGCCUGGUAACCAUCAAUGCAACAAAGCAGAGAAGAGGCCUCUCUUGCCCAUGGAAGGAGGAGCACAUUAUUAAGGAGCAGGUUCUCUGGAACCCAACAGCCUGGAUUCAAAUCCUACCAGGGCCACUCCCUAGUUGUGUGACCUUGGGCAAGUUAUCUGACCUCACUGAGCCUGAGCAGCCUCAUCUGUAAAAUGCGGACAAUAAUAGUACCUAGCUUGUGGAGUUGUUAGAAGAUUACAAAAGUAUUUUUAAAGUGCUUGGCACAUCCGAGGCACUUUGCUGUUAAAUUGCAAAUAAUCCUCAGGGAAUCUGUUUUCAUUAUGUCUGAGCACCUUUUCCAAUCUGAAAAUAAAGGCACUGAAUAUAUAAGCAGAGCUCUCUUGAUUUAUAAGCAGAUGUUCGUGAAAAGUCUUUUGGAAGGUGGAAACAUUAAACCAUGUUUGUGUUUAACA